GCCAGGCGCGGUGGCGCAUGCCUGUAGUCCCAGCUACUCGGGAGGCUGAGAUGGGAGGAUCUCUUGAGCCCAGGAGUUCUGGGCUGUAGUGCGCUAUGCCCACUGGGUGUCCGCACUAAGUUUGGCAUCACAGUGACCUCCUGGGAGUGGGGGACCACCAGGUUGCCUAAGGAGGGGUGAACCUGCCCAGUUUGGAAACGGAGCCAGUCAAAACUCCUGUGCUGAUCAGUAGUGGGAUCAUACCUAUGAAUAGCCACUGCACUCCAGCCUGGGCAACAUAGUGAGACCCUGUCUCAA
Molecule: unclassified non-coding RNA, 297 nt
Organism: Callithrix jacchus (white-tufted-ear marmoset)
Lineage: Eukaryota; Metazoa; Chordata; Mammalia; Primates; Cebidae
Rfam family: Metazoan signal recognition particle RNA
About the family: The signal recognition particle (SRP) is a universally conserved ribonucleoprotein. It is involved in the co-translational targeting of proteins to membranes.
Source: Ensembl